GUGGGGAAUAUUCCGCAAUGGACGAAAGUCUGACGGAGCAACGCCGCGUGAGUGAUGAAGGUUUUCGGACUGUAAAGCUCUGUUGUUUAGGACGAAAGUGCCUGUUGCAAAUAGUUACAGGUAUUGACGGUACUGAACGAGGAAGCCACGGCUAACUACGUGCCAGCAGCCGCGGUAAUACGUAGGUGGCAAGCGUUGUCCGGAAUUAUUGGGCGUAAAGAGCAUGUAGGCGGGAAUCUAAGUCUGUUGUGAAAAUGCGGGGCUCAACCCCGUAUUGCGAUGGAAACUGGGUUUCUUGAGUGCAGGAGAGGAAAGGGGAAUUCCCAGUGUAGCGGUGAAAAGCGUAGAUAUUGGGAGGAACACCAGUGGCGAAGGCGCCUUUCUGGACUGUGUCUGACGCUGAGAUGCGAAAGCCAGGGUAGCGAACGGGAUUAGAUACCCGGGUAGUCC
RNAcentral lists this ribosomal RNA (450 nucleotides) under uncultured bacterium. Its description in RNAcentral is "partial 16S ribosomal RNA". It matches the Rfam family "Bacterial small subunit ribosomal RNA", at positions 354 to 796 of the family's 1533-position model. The record is from RNAcentral.